CAGGAAGAGAACUGGCAUGGAGGGAUCGCUGAUUGUGACUGAAGAAAAGGGACUUUCAUUACUGUAAAGCAAUUUUGCUUACGCCAGAUGAGAUCACCAAUGGACAGGAGCGAGGGUGUUCAGCUCUUACUGAAGGCUGCCUAAACUAAUGCAAUUACAAAAACCCCCAAACAGUGAUGUGAGUCAGAACUUCACAGGAACGUACACACACAAAACCACGAUCCCAUUAAGCAUGAAACACCUGUGACCAAACCUGAUCAUUCCUGGCAGCUACAGAAAAUAAAACAGUCCAGAGAAGCGAGAA
Molecule: long non-coding RNA, 304 nt
Organism: Cygnus olor (mute swan)
Lineage: Eukaryota; Metazoa; Chordata; Aves; Anseriformes; Anatidae
Exons: 2
Source: RefSeq, a predicted model, not a curated record